GCUCCAAUAGCGUAUAUUAAAGUUGUUGCAGUUAAAAAGCUCGUAGUUGGAUUUCUGGUGGGAGGGAACCGUCCGAUCUCAGAUUGGUGCGUGUUCCUCUCCGGCCAUCCUUGAGUCUAACCUCCUUGGCAUUAAGUUGUCGAGGUGGGGAUACUCAUCGUUUACUGUGAAAAAUAGAGUGUUCAAGCAGCUUAUGCCGU
This 200-nucleotide ribosomal RNA is filed under the name uncultured eukaryote. Its description in RNAcentral is "partial 18S ribosomal RNA". It matches the Rfam family "Eukaryotic small subunit ribosomal RNA", at positions 588 to 793 of the family's 1831-position model. The record is from RNAcentral.